AACGAAGAAGAUUAUGAUGAUUUUCUUGGACAUGGUAGCGAAAAACAUGAAGUGGGGAACAUGUAAUACCCUAAAACUCGACACCCUUGAUUUAUUAGAAUAACAUAAUUUUUACACAACCUCGAUGUUAUACAUUCACAACAUAUAUCUUUCUUGCAAAUUAUAACAUGAAACAUGCAGCAGAAUAAAAUAUCAAAACUUCAAAGAAAACACUUAUUGAUCUCAUCAAAAUUUACUAAUUAAAAUAACUCAGACAUCUCAAGAAACAUAAAAUAUAAAAAAGCC
RNAcentral lists this long non-coding RNA (285 nucleotides) under Lathyrus oleraceus (garden pea). Its description in RNAcentral is "Pisum sativum (pea) long non-coding RNA (PSAT_LNC004033)". The record is from RNAcentral. Lineage: Eukaryota; Viridiplantae; Streptophyta; Magnoliopsida; Fabales; Fabaceae.